CUUCUUUUUCCCCUCUUCCUUUCUUCCCUGACGGUGGGAAGUGAAGCGCCACGGUAGUUCCGAGUUGUGUCCUCGAUGGCGGUGCUAAAGCACACAAUUUUAGAGUGUUUGAAGUGGUUUCCGACAGUUUGUGGAUCGGGAAAGAAGCAGUAAAGCAUUACUGGCUGAAUUAGGCGAAGGGGAGAAGAAGGUGUGUAUGGCAUUUUAAAGUGAGGGCUAGGUUAUUAAGGCCACUUUUUAAUCUAUGUCUGGUGUGCUCUCUCUCUUCUGUUUUCUCUUCCUUGAUCUAAGAUAUAAUUUUGUGAUGGAACAUGGCUAAGGAUUAACAAGUUGGUCUGGUGGUUGCACCAAGCUGGCCUGCCCGCUCCAAGUUGCGAGUUGACCCACGGGGCUCAUGCGAAGGUACAUGUCUUGUGAGUCUUAGACAAGAGGGCAUAGCGAGAGGCUGGUUUCACAUGUAUAAUUUUGAUGGUAAUAACAGUUCAUUGACAUAUAGAGGCAUCAAAGUCUUUCAAGACAUUACAGUAUGACCCUCUUGAAGGUAAUAUUUUCUCUUUGUGAUGCUAGCUCAGUGUUCUGCUACUCUUCCGAACAGUUAUAAGGCGCUGAUGCAGUCCGAUUUUGGUUGUGAUCUGGUUCUACCUGAAAUUCCUUAAGCAGGUGCAUGUUCUUAAAACAAUUAUUAAUAAAGGUGGGAAGGUUGUAAAGGAGAGGUUGGUUUCCUUAGAUUAAUUGACAAAUUGAUGAAUCACAUGUUCUGAAUGUGUCCUAAUCAAGCCAAUCCUUUGGGUGCUGUUCAUAAGGAAUGAGAACAUUUUCCCUAAUUUUUUCUUCAAUGCAUGUUUGAUAUUAAUGUGUUGUUGCAGUCUGCGUUACAGUGCCUUGCACUCACCGGUCAUUGCAAAUAAGAUAAAGUGUUUCAAGAUUGAGAAUUUGGGUCGCUGAUUAAAUUGUUCUAUGUUGUGAUUUCCUCAAGUGACUAAAGAUGUGGAGUAAUUGUCACUAGGAGCAUUGAGUUCAAGGAUAAAGUCAAGAACAUUGGUGUCAGUCUUGUAAAGAAUGUUGCUAAUGCUGGUGAAGAAUCAAAUUGAUGAACUAUACAAGGAAGCAUGGGAGCAAUGUCAUGAGCCAUGUGAUGCAAAAUCCAUUUG
This is a long non-coding RNA of Vicia villosa (hairy vetch), 1151 nucleotides long. RefSeq lists it as uncharacterized. The transcript has 6 exons. Lineage: Eukaryota; Viridiplantae; Streptophyta; Magnoliopsida; Fabales; Fabaceae. The record is from RefSeq and is a predicted model, not a curated record.